GGGGCUGACCGGUUUUGACAGCAGGCAGAAACUGAUAGUAAGCACGCCGAGCCUUGUGUGGGGGCUCGUUAAAGUGAACACUCAAAAUUCAAAUGGCAAUAACAGCUAUGCACUCGCUGCGUAACCUUACCGAGUAACGUUACCUUAAUCCGCCUGUCUUAGAGACGGGCCGACGAGUAUCCCGCCUGUCGCGUCACCCGCUCCUUGUGGCGCGCGGCUCUCCGGGGUAUCAAAAAAAUGAGGAGAUAGUCGGAUGCGGUGCCUUGAGCGUUCGGCGAAAUUUAUCGAGGCUGGGCUUCGUGGUGGGUUGUUGUCUGCCAGCUGCGGAGAGAAGGAUCAAACGACAACUAAGCGUGUAGAAAGCGUUCGGGGUCACUGUUUGGACGAGGGUUCGACUCCCUCCAGCUCCACUU
RNAcentral lists this transfer-messenger RNA (413 nucleotides) under Alistipes sp. It matches the Rfam family "transfer-messenger RNA". From Rfam's summary of the family: Bacterial tmRNA, also known as 10Sa RNA or SsrA, is named for its dual tRNA and mRNA-like properties. Its role is to liberate the mRNA from a stalled ribosome. Lineage: Bacteria; Pseudomonadati; Bacteroidota; Bacteroidia; Bacteroidales; Rikenellaceae. The record is from RNAcentral.